AUUGAGCGCUGGCGGCAGGCCUAACACAUGCAAGUCGAGCGGAUGAAGGGAGCUUGCUCCUGGAUUCAGCGGCGGACGGGUGAGUAAUGCCUAGGAAUCUGCCUGGUAGUGGGGGAUAACGUCCGGAAACGGGCGCUAAUACCGCAUACGUCCUGAGGGAGAAAGUGGGGGAUCUUCGGACCUCACGCUAUCAGAUGAGCCUAGGUCGGAUUAGCUAGUUGGUGGGGUAAAGGCCUACCAAGACGACGAUCCGUAACUGGUCUGAGAGGAUGACCAGUCACACUGGAACUGAGACACGGUCCAGACUCCUACGGGAGGCAGCAGUGGGGAAUAUUGGACAAUGGGCGAAAGCCUGAUCCAGCCAUGCCGCGUGUGUGAAGAAGGUCUUCGGAUUGUAAAGCGCUUUAAGUUGGGAGGAAGGGCAGUAAGUUAAUACCUUGCUGUUUUGACGUUACCAACAGAAUAAGCACCGGCUAACUUCGUG
This 484-nucleotide ribosomal RNA is filed under the name uncultured bacterium. RNAcentral's name for it is "partial 16S ribosomal RNA". It matches the Rfam family "Bacterial small subunit ribosomal RNA", at positions 30 to 507 of the family's 1533-position model. The record is from RNAcentral.